UAUCUUCAGGGCAGGGUGUAAUUCCCGACCGGCGGUAUAGUCCGCGACCUUUGCUGCUAACAGUAAGGCUGAACCGGUUUGAUUCCGGUACCGACAGUAUAGUCUGGAUGAAAGAAGAUA
This 120-nucleotide non-coding RNA is filed under the name uncultured Ligilactobacillus sp. RNAcentral's name for it is "FMN riboswitch (RFN element)". It matches the Rfam family "FMN riboswitch aptamer (RFN element)". Rfam says of the family: The RFN element is a highly conserved domain that is found frequently in the 5'-untranslated regions of prokaryotic mRNAs that encode for flavin mononucleotide (FMN) biosynthesis and transport proteins. This element is a metabolite-dependent riboswitch that directly binds FMN in the absence of proteins. Lineage: Bacteria; Bacillati; Bacillota; Bacilli; Lactobacillales; Lactobacillaceae. The record is from RNAcentral.